Canis lupus familiaris (dog) is the source of this 848-nucleotide long non-coding RNA. RefSeq lists it as uncharacterized. The record is from RefSeq and is a predicted model, not a curated record. NCBI's taxonomy places the organism in Eukaryota, Metazoa, Chordata, Mammalia, Carnivora, Canidae. The transcript has 3 exons.
AGCAUGCAGCAGCCAUACUAAGUCAGUUACAUACGGAGCAGGGACUUUAUUGCUAAAUUUACAACAUGGCAGAAGGCAGAUCAGAACUCAUGCUCACUGCAGGCUGAGACAUCCUAAAGAGAAAAGAAUGUGUGGAGGCGGGGCGGGGUAAUUUCGCCAAUCAUGUAAAUCACCCACACCUCCCCGUUAAGGAGGCUUGGGAGAGCAGAGUUACCAGAAUAAGAAGGAUUUUGACUGCUGAGGAUACUACGGAAACAUUAAAGUCCAUAACCCACCAUCAAAGAUUUAUGAGGAGAAUAAAAUGUUAUAUAAACAGAAGCCUGAAGAGCCAUGUGAACAAUCAGAACAAGAGGGCACGGAGAAGAAAAAUAUUAAUUAUUGUGAUUCCAGUUCUAAUGGAAGACGCUCAGAUUCUUGAAAGCCAUAGGAAGAAGCUACUGUAAGGACCCAUUUUAGUAAACAUCGAAAACUAGAGGGUCCCCGGCUUCCGGUGAUUUGACUUAGGAUUUUUCAGGCAAUGGAGCAAGAGUACUAGGCAUUUGGUAGAGACCAUACUUUGAAUUUUCUAUUUUGACCUUUUCCCAGUAUGCACUUGUCUCUGGCUGUGUGGGCCGAAGCUCUCUGGUGGCUGGUCAAGGGGCAGCAGGGGUGGCUCCCAGGGACCCAUGCAACCAUGAGGAUCAGCAGCCAGGCCACUAACAACCCCCCUGGCUCCGGGCAACCAUUCUGUUCCCCACGUUCAGUCCUGCAUUCAGUCAAUUACGAGACGGUCAACACUUUUUUUUUUAAUAAAAUAGGCUUUAUGUUAGAUGAUUCUGCCUAACUAUAGGCUGAUGGAAGUGUUCUGA